GAUGAAGAACGCAGCGAAAUGCGAUAAGUAAUGUGAAUUGCAGAAUUCAGUGAAUCAUCGAAUCUUUGAACGCACAUUGCGCCCCCUGGUAUUCCGGGGGGCAUGCCUGUUCGAGCGUCAUUUCACCACUCAAGCCUCGCUUGGUAUUGGGCAACGCGGUCCGCCGCGUGCCUCAAAUCGACCGGCUGGGUCUUCUGUCCCCUAAGCGUUGUGGAAACUAUUCGCUAAAGGGUGUUCGGGAGGCUACGCCGUAAAACAACCCCAUUUCUAAGGUUGACCUCGGAUCAGGUAGGAAUACCCGCUGAACUUAAGCAUAUCAAUAAGCGGAGGA
This 331-nucleotide unclassified non-coding RNA is filed under the name soil metagenome. RNAcentral describes it as "partial contains 5.8S ribosomal RNA, internal transcribed spacer 2, and large subunit ribosomal RNA". The stretch from base 1 to 120 matches the Rfam family "5.8S ribosomal RNA", at positions 35 to 154 of the family's 154-position model. The record is from RNAcentral.